This 253-nucleotide ribosomal RNA is filed under the name uncultured bacterium. Its description in RNAcentral is "partial 16S ribosomal RNA". It matches the Rfam family "Bacterial small subunit ribosomal RNA", at positions 524 to 776 of the family's 1533-position model. The record is from RNAcentral.
UACGGAGGGGGCUAGCGUUGUUCGGAUUUACUGGGCGUAAAGAGCGCGCAGGCGGUCGAUCAAGUCGCGUGUGAAAGCCCCCGGCUCAACUGGGGAGGGUCACGCGAUACUGAUCGACUCGAAGGCAGGAGAGGGUAGUGGAAUUCCCGGUGUAGUGGUGAAAUGCGUAGAUAUCGGGAGGAACACCAGUGGCGAAGGCGACUACCUGGCCUGUUCUUGACGCUGAGGCGCGAAAGCUAGGGGAGCAAACGGG